CACCUACGGGGGGCAGCAGUGAGGAAUAUUGGUCAAUGGGCGAGAGCCUGAACCAGCCAAGUCGCGUGAGGGAGUACUGCCCUAUGGGUUGUAAACCUCUUUUGUCGGGGAGCAAAAGCCGGACGUGUCCGGCUGUGAGAGUACCCGAAGAAAAAGCAUCGGCUAACUCCGUGCCAGCAGCCGCGGUAAUACGGAGGAUGCGAGCGUUAUCCGGAUUUACUGGGAGUAAAGGGAGCGUAGACGGCGAUGCAAGUCUGAAGUGAAAGGCGGGGGCCCAAACCCC
RNAcentral lists this ribosomal RNA (283 nucleotides) under uncultured bacterium. RNAcentral describes it as "partial 16S ribosomal RNA". It matches the Rfam family "Bacterial small subunit ribosomal RNA", at positions 335 to 617 of the family's 1533-position model. The record is from RNAcentral.